AGUGCCUCGUUGACAGGGGAAACCCGCCCCUGUCAGCGAGGCAGAUGUGAUUGGACAGCGGAUCCAGUGCUGGAUCCACUCGUCCAAUCACCCGAAGAGGCAGCAGGACCCGGCGCCCAGCUCAGUUACAGUAGCGGGGUGAAGAGGCAGCGGGACCCGGAGUUGAAGCCAGGGCCGGCCGCGCAGACCGAGGAGGGUGCUGCUGUGGACCUACAUCGCCGCAGCCGCCCGUUAUGUCUGGAUGCCGAUGGGUGACGGGUGUCCUCUUGCUCCCAGCCCUCCCGCGAUGCUAGGGAACUGUGGAAGACAGUGGCGGAUUGCCGCUUCCCCCCCCCUCCUGUCGGAAAUGUGCCUUCAGCGGCGUGACCUCCCGCUCCCAGCCCUCCCGCGAUGACAGGGAACUGGGGGAGACAGUGGCGGAUUGCCGCUCCCCCCCUCCUGUCGGAAAUGUGCCUUCAGCGGUGUGACCUCCUGCUCCCAGCCCUCCUGCGAUGACAGGGAACUGGGGGAGACAGUGGCGGAUUGCCGCUCCCCCCCCUCCUGUUGGAAAUGUGCCUUCAGCGGUGUGACCUCCUGCUCCCAGCCCUCCCACGAUGACAGGGAACUGGGGGAGACAGUGGCGGAUUGCCGCCCCCCCCCCCCCCCCCUCCUGUCAUCUGGGAAAUGUGCCUUCAGCGGUGUGACCUCCUGCUCCCAGCCCUCCCGCGAUGACAGGGAACUGGUGGAGGCAGUGGUGGAUUGCCCUCCCCACUGUCGUCUGGGAAGGGUCCCGCGGUGCCACCAGUGCAUGAAAUCCAGCCCCAGCCCACAGUGUCAAUGUGCAAAAGGGGACCCUGAAGGGGCCAUGGCUGCCCGCUGCUGCACUACUGGAGCAGGUGCCGCUCACCGCCGCCAGCCGCCCACCGCUCACCGCCGCCCGUCGCCACCCGCAACAAAUGGCAGUCAGAGGGACCUCACCGCUGCUGCCCAUGGGUGCCUCCGCCGACCACAGUCAGAUCUUCUAUCAACCCAUAUCACCUGGGGAGGUCAGAAUUUGAUAGUUGGUGGGGACUUCAAUUUGGUCGUCAACCCAUCCAUGGACAGAUCCAGGAACACGCCGAUCACAGGGACUCGCAUCAGAGCGGCGCCUAGCAACCAUAGGAUGUGUAUGGGGGUUGCCUAGCAACCGCAGGGACAUGUGGAGCUGACGUCACACAUAUGCGACACGCCCCUUCCGUCCCGCUGACGGCGCCCCGGCUUCGGCGUGCAUCUGGAAAUGAGGAGGAGGGGGAGAUAUGGACGAUUCAGGGAUAUAAG
Long non-coding RNA from Pseudophryne corroboree (corroboree frog), 1296 nucleotides. RefSeq lists it as uncharacterized. The record is from RefSeq and is a predicted model, not a curated record. Lineage: Eukaryota; Metazoa; Chordata; Amphibia; Anura; Myobatrachidae. The transcript is spliced from 3 exons.